UGUUAUUCUGGGAGAACACAACAAAAAUACUGAUAUCGACUGUAACGUCUUUAAAGGUCCCGGUGGAGAAAAAAUUGAACGAGAAUGUGCUGAUCUGGUGCAACGGUACGAAGUGGAAUCCUUUGUCUAUCAUCCAAACUUUUACUACCCGCAAUUAACCAACGACAUUGGACUGAUUCGUCUAGCCACAGAAGUGAGCUGAGAGUACAACAUCCAGCCAAUCUGUCUUCCGGUGACGCCACAACUUCGCGUGAGACUUUUCAAGGAAUUCAUCGUCACGUGGUGGGGUUUAAACGAAUUCUAUCAAUCGCAUCAAGUCCUUCAGGAAGCGGUUCUUCCCUUGGCCAGCAAUGCCAAUUGUCAGCAGCGAUUGAGCAUUAAACUGACGGAGAGGCAGCUUUGUGCUGGAGGUGAGCUUCAAGUACAAAGGGGAUUUCGAGACAUAGGCGGUCCACUGGGUUACGCCACCAACUACAACGGAGCCAUGCGUUUUGUGCACGAUUUUCACCCGCGUGGCCAGUUACAUGGACUGGAUACUGGAGAACAUUUUACCUUAAGAAUCUUCGACAUAGUCUUGCGGACUACCGGUUAAACUACUUUAUCUAGUAAAACAAAUAAGCAAUAAAUACCUGCUCCAAAAAGUGCUUCGA
This is a long non-coding RNA of Culex quinquefasciatus (southern house mosquito), 650 nucleotides long. RefSeq lists it as uncharacterized. NCBI's taxonomy places the organism in Eukaryota, Metazoa, Arthropoda, Insecta, Diptera, Culicidae. The transcript is spliced from 2 exons. The record is from RefSeq and is a predicted model, not a curated record.